UGAGAGGGCGACCGGCCACAUUGGGACUGAGACACGGCCCAACUCUUACGGGAGGCAGCAGUGGGGAAUAUUGCACAAAGGGGGAACCCCCUGAGCAGCGACGCCGCGUGAAGGAAGAAGUUUUCGGUAUGAAAACUCUUCAGCAGGGAAGAAAGACGUACCGUGAGUAAGAAGCCCCGGCUAACUACGUGCCAGCAGCCGCGG
This 204-nucleotide ribosomal RNA is filed under the name uncultured Lachnospiraceae bacterium. RNAcentral's name for it is "partial 16S ribosomal RNA". It matches the Rfam family "Bacterial small subunit ribosomal RNA", at positions 293 to 520 of the family's 1533-position model. Lineage: Bacteria; Bacillati; Bacillota; Clostridia; Lachnospirales; Lachnospiraceae. The record is from RNAcentral.